This 404-nucleotide ribosomal RNA is filed under the name uncultured bacterium. Its description in RNAcentral is "bacterial SSU rRNA". It matches the Rfam family "Bacterial small subunit ribosomal RNA", at positions 355 to 776 of the family's 1533-position model. The record is from RNAcentral.
UGGGGAAUAUUGCACAAUGGGGGAAACCCUGAUGCAGCAACGCCGCGUGAGCGAUGAAGGCCUUCGGGUUGUAAAGCUCUGUCUUCCCUGACGAUAAUGACGGUAAGGGAGGAGGAAGCCACGGCUAACUACGUGCCAGCAGCCGCGGUAAUACGUAGGUGGCGAGCGUUGUCCGGAAUUAUUGGGCGUAAAGGGUGCGUAGGCGGUAGUUUAAGUGGGGCGUGAAAUCCCCGGGCUUAACCCGGGAGCUGCGCUCCAAACUGGACUACUUGAGUGCAGGAGAGGAAAGCGGAAUUCCCAGUGUAGCGGUGAAAUGCGUAGAGAUUGGGAGGAACACCAGUGGCGAAGGCGGCUUUCUGGACUGUAACUGACGCUGAGGCACGAAAGCGUGGGGAGCAAACAGG